GCAAGUCGAACGCAUGACUUCGGUCAUGAGUGGCGCACGGGUGAGUAACACGUAGGCAACGUACCCCGGGGCGGGGAAUAACGUCUGGAAACAGGCGCUAAUACCGCAUACAGCGUCCGGACUUUCGGGUCUGGACGGCAAAGGCUUCGGCCACCCUGGGAUCGGCCUGCGGCCCAUUAGCUUGUUGGUGAGGUAACGGCUCACCAAGGCUUCGAUGGGUAGCUGGUCUGAGAGGAUGAUC
Molecule: ribosomal RNA, 241 nt
Filed under: uncultured bacterium
Lineage: Bacteria
Description: partial 16S ribosomal RNA
Rfam family: Bacterial small subunit ribosomal RNA
Source: RNAcentral